RNAcentral lists this ribosomal RNA (609 nucleotides) under uncultured bacterium. RNAcentral describes it as "bacterial SSU rRNA". It matches the Rfam family "Bacterial small subunit ribosomal RNA", at positions 338 to 961 of the family's 1533-position model. The record is from RNAcentral.
CCUACGGGAGGCAGCAGUAGGGAAUUUUCCACAAUGGGCGAAAGCCUGAUGGAGCAAUACCGCGUGCAGGAUGAAGGCCUUCGGGUCGUAAACUGCUUUUAUGUGCGAAGAAUUUGACGGUAACACAUGAAUAAGGAUCGGCUAACUACGUGCCAGCAGCCGCGGUCAUACGUAGGAUCCAAGCGUUAUCCGGAAUUACUGGGCGUAAAGAGUUGCGUAGGUGGCAUUAUAAGUGGAGCGUGAAAGCGUGCGGCUCAACCGCAUUAUUGCGUUCCAAACUGUGAAGCUUGAGUAUGGGAGAGGUAGAUGGAAUUUCUAGUGUAGGAGUGAAAUCCGUAGAUAUUAGAAGGAACACCGAUGGCGUAGGCAGUCUACUGGCCCAUUACUGACACUAAGGCACGAAAGCGUGGGGAGCAAACGGGAUUAGAUACCCCGGUAGUCCACGCUGUAAACUAUGGAUGCUAGCUGUGACACACAUCGACCUGUGUCGUAGCGAAGUUAACGCGUUAAGCAUCCGCCGUCGGGAGGUACGGUCGCGAGAAUUAAACUAACAAAUAGAAGUUAGACGGCGUGAGACGUGCCGACGGACGACGACGACGGGAGGUUAGG